RNAcentral lists this ribosomal RNA (497 nucleotides) under uncultured bacterium. RNAcentral describes it as "partial 16S ribosomal RNA". It matches the Rfam family "Bacterial small subunit ribosomal RNA", at positions 28 to 507 of the family's 1533-position model. The record is from RNAcentral.
GAUGAACGCUGGCGGCGUGCCUAAUACAUGCAAGUCGAGCGAACAGACGAGGAGCUUGCUCCUCUGACGUUAGCGGCGGACGGGUGAGUAACACGUGGAUAACCUACCUAUAAGACUGGGAUAACUUCGGGAAACCGGAGCUAAUACCGGAUAAUAUAUUGAACCGCAUGGUUCAAUAGUGAAAGACGGUUUUGCUGUCACUUAUAGAUGGAUCCGCGCCGCAUUAACUAGUUGGUAAGGUAACGGCUUACCAAGGCAACGAUGCGUAACCGACCUGAGAGGGUCAUCGGCCACACUGGAACUGAGACACGGUCCAGACUCCUAAGGGAGGCAGCAGUAGGGAAUCUUACGCAAUGGGCCAAAGCCUGACGGAGCAACGCCGCGUGAGUCAUGAAGGUCUUCGGAUCGUAAAACUCUGUUAUUAGGGAAGAACAAAUGUGUAAGUAACUGUGCACGUCUUGACGGUACCUAAUCAGAAAGCCACGGCUAACUACGUG